This 773-nucleotide ribosomal RNA is filed under the name uncultured bacterium. Its description in RNAcentral is "bacterial SSU rRNA". It matches the Rfam family "Bacterial small subunit ribosomal RNA", at positions 8 to 798 of the family's 1533-position model. The record is from RNAcentral.
AGAGUUUGAUCAUGGCUCAGGACGAACGCUGGCGGCGUGCUUAACACAUGCAAGUCGAACGGAAAGGCCCUUCGGGGUACUCGAGUGGCGAACGGGUGAGUAACACGUGGGUGAUCUGCCCUGCACUUUGGGAUAAGCCUGGGAAACUGGGUCUAAUACCGAAUAGGACCGCAUGCUUCAUGGUGUGUGGUGGAAAGCUUUUGCGGUGUGGGAUGGGCCCGCGGCCUAUCAGCUUGUUGGUGGGGUAAUGGCCUACCAAGGCGACGAUGGGUAGCCGGCCUGAGAGGGUGACCGGCCACACUGGGACUGAGAUACGGCCCAGACUCCUACGGGAGGCAGCAGUGGGGAAUAUUGCACAAUGGGCGCAAGCCUGAUGCAGCGACGCCGCGUGAGGGAUGACGGCCUUCGGGUUGUAAACCUCUUUCAAUAGGGACGAAGCGCAAGUGACGGUACCUAUAGAAGAAGCACCGGCCAACUACGUGCCAGCAGCCGCGGUAAUACGUAGGGUGCGAGCGUUGUCCGGAAUUACUGGGCGUAAAGAGCUCGUAGGUGGUUUGUCGCGUUGUUCGUGAAAACUCACAGCUUAACUGUGGGCGUGCGGGCGAUACGGGCAGACUAGAGUACUGCAGGGGAGACUGGAAUUCCUGGUGUAGCGGUGGAAUGCGCAGAUAUCAGGAGGAACACCGGUGGCGAAGGCGGGUCUCUGGGCAGUAACUGACGCUGAGGAGCGAAAGCGUGGGGAGCGAACAGGAUUAGAUACCCCGGUAGUCCAA